UACGGAGGGAGCUAGCGUUGUUCGGAAUUACUGGGCGUAAAGCGCGCGUAGGCGGCUAUUCAAGUCAGGGGUGAAAUCCCGGGGCUCGACCCCGGAACUGCCUUUGAAACUGGGUAGCUAGAAUCCUGGAGAGGCGAGUGGAAUUCCGAGUGUAGAGGUGAAAUUCGUAGAUAUUCGGAAGAACACCAGUGGCGAAGGCGACUCGCUGGACAGGCAUUGACGCUGAGGUGCGAAAGCGUGGGGAGCAAACAGG
This 253-nucleotide ribosomal RNA is filed under the name uncultured bacterium. RNAcentral describes it as "partial 16S ribosomal RNA". It matches the Rfam family "Bacterial small subunit ribosomal RNA", at positions 524 to 776 of the family's 1533-position model. The record is from RNAcentral.